GAUGAACGCUGGCGGCGUGCUUAACACAUGCAAGUCGAACGAAGCACUUUAUUUGAUUUCUUCGGAAUGAAGAUUUUGUGACUGAGUGGCGGACGGGUGAGUAACGCGUGGGUAACCUGCCUCAUACAGGGGGAUAACAGUUGGAAACGACUGCUAAUACCGCAUAAGCGCACAGGGUCGCAUGACCUGGUGCGAAAAACUCCGGUGGUAUGAGAUGGACCCGCGUCUGAUUAGCCAGUUGGUGGGGUAACGGCCUACCAAAGCGACGAUCAGUAGCCGACCUGAGAGGGUGACCGGCCACAUUGGGACUGAGACACGGCCCAAACUCCUACGGGAGGCAGCAGUGGGGAAUAUUGCACAAUGGGGGAAACCCUGAUGCAGCGACGCCGCGUGAGCGAAGAAGUAUUUCGGUAUGUAAAGCUCUAUCAGCAGGGAAGAAGAAAUGACGGUACCUGA
RNAcentral lists this ribosomal RNA (456 nucleotides) under uncultured bacterium. RNAcentral describes it as "bacterial SSU rRNA". It matches the Rfam family "Bacterial small subunit ribosomal RNA", at positions 28 to 482 of the family's 1533-position model. The record is from RNAcentral.